GCGCCGGUGGUGUACGGUACACACCCCAUAAUCAUAAUCUUUACAGAUCUUUAAUGGGGAACCCGGGGUUCGACUCCCCGCCGGUGCA
Molecule: non-coding RNA, 88 nt
Organism: Mycena latifolia
Lineage: Eukaryota; Fungi; Basidiomycota; Agaricomycetes; Agaricales; Mycenaceae
Source: the annotation of a GenBank genome assembly